CUCAGUGUUGGUGGAGUGUCGGGGUUCGUUGGCGCGCUUGACUCGCGUAAAUACGUGCGUCGAAUCAGCUGUCAGAAAGGUGGAGGCAAGGGCAGGCAUGAGGAUGUAAACGCAACAACGGCAUAACAACAGUCGGUGGAAUUUAUAUUUAGUAUUGCGAGGGCAGAAAAAGUCUCCUUUCACAAAAACAGCAGCACGAUACAACGUCAGUUUAGGAGAGCGAGGCGCGCAUCAGAACGGAAUCAGUAGCUCAGCAUCUGCUUCUCCGGUGACCGACGAGCUCUAAAGCGAGACUAUUCAUAUUAAUACCACCGCCGACAUAUCUGUUUAUCUGCGGGCUCUGCAUUCAUUACCGUGAAGUCAUCUAGCGGUUAGUGUGCAGGCACUAACAGACUGCAUUUGUGAAUGGUUCUGUGGGCCUGCUUUGAACGGAUGUUUUUUUUCCUUCGCUAACGUCGCAGUGAACUGCACCAUGUAUAGCGAAGCGCUUUCUCAUCAUCGUGCUCCGCGCGGAGGCUGAGUGGGGAUGAGGAUGUUGUUUACCAAAAGCAGCCAGCCGUCAGCGCACUGAUGCUCGGUCUCCUCGCACACCAUUUUUCAUCUAAUCUUUUAUGACACGGUUGGAAAUGACUGUCACCUCCGUCUUUCCUCUUUGAAGAGGGCAAUGUCAUCGUAAGCAGACCGGCGUGGAUUUGUUGUGGUCUGAUUUUACUAUUGUCCGCUGCGAUUCGACUUCUCACCGUUUAUAUAACAGGGACGGGGGAAAGCUUUAAAGUCCCUCCCCCUGCUCCUAAUUGGUCCUCUAUACCAUGAGCUCUGGCUCCGCCCAGGAUGUGGCGGUGGAGAAUUUCCUGCGUGACAUAGAGAGGCGGGGCCAGUGGCUGCACUGCGCUGUUAUUGGCUGUGAGGAGGAGCAUUCCUGUGGCGACAUGAACCUUUUGUACCGCAAAAGUCGACUGGAUUGGAGACACAGAGAUCAGGAGGGCAAGAAAAGAUUAUACCUGGGCGACAGCUGUACUGUGAGAUCUCCAUGGCCAACUCAUACGCUGUGUGCCCUGUCUGCGCAUCAUAUCCUGUGGUGCAGUUCUUUUCUGUUAAUGUGUGUCACACUCUACUAGCUCAGCAUCUUCUCUGCCUUCUGCCUGACAACAAAGACUCACACACACUGCUGAACAGUGUAUUGAUGAGUUGCUUCCAUCUGGACCUUGUGCACAUCAACCUUCAUAAAGGUCAGAGGAGGGGAGCACAGUGAUCUCUAGACAAUAUUUACACAUCUUAAAAGUUAACAGGAAGAAGUUUGUGAAUUUUUAAUAUGACACUUAUGCUCAGAGGAAGAAAAAAAAUCACAAUGUAAUGAAAGGAGACUUUUGGUUAAGUAUCUUGCUUCCCAG
This 1391-nucleotide long non-coding RNA is filed under the name Sinocyclocheilus grahami. RNAcentral's name for it is "lncRNA (ENSSGRG00000023450.1)". The record is from RNAcentral. Lineage: Eukaryota; Metazoa; Chordata; Actinopteri; Cypriniformes; Cyprinidae.